RNAcentral lists this ribosomal RNA (484 nucleotides) under uncultured bacterium. RNAcentral's name for it is "partial 16S ribosomal RNA". It matches the Rfam family "Bacterial small subunit ribosomal RNA", at positions 30 to 507 of the family's 1533-position model. The record is from RNAcentral.
AUUGAACGCUGGCGGCAGGCCUAACACAUGCAAGUCGAGCGGAUGAAGGGAGCUUGCUCCUGGAUUCAGCGGCGGACGGGUGAGUAAUGCCUAGGAAUCUGCCUGGUAGUGGGUGAUAACGUCCGGAAACGGGCGCUAAUACCGCAUACGUCCUGAGGGAGAAAGUGGGGGAUCUUCGGACCUCACGCUAUCAGAUGAGCCUAGGCCGGAUUAGCUAGUUGGUGGGGUAAAGGCCUACCAAGGCGACGAUCCGUAACUGGUCUGAGAGGAUGAUCAGUCACACUGGAACUGAGACACGGUCCAGACUCCUACGGGAGGCAGCAGUGGGGAAUAUUGGACAAUGGGCGAAAGCCUGAUCCAGCCAUGCCGCGUGUGUGAAGAAGGUCUUCGGAUUGUAAAGCACUUUAAGUUGGGAGGAAGGGCAGUAAGUUAAUACCUUGCUGUUUUGACGUUACCAACAGAAUAAGCACCGGCUAACUUCGUG